RNAcentral lists this ribosomal RNA (440 nucleotides) under uncultured bacterium. RNAcentral's name for it is "partial 16S ribosomal RNA". It matches the Rfam family "Bacterial small subunit ribosomal RNA", at positions 338 to 795 of the family's 1533-position model. The record is from RNAcentral.
CCUACGGGGUGCAGCAGUGGGGAAUAUUGCACAAUGGGGGAAACCCUGAUGCAGCGACGCCGCGUGAGUGAAGAAGUAUUUCGGUACGUAAAGCUCUAUCAGCAGGGAAGAAAAUGACGGUACCUGACUAAUAAGCCCCGGCUAACUACGUGCCAGCAGCCGCGGUAAUACGUAGGGGGCAAGCGUUAUCCGGAUUUACUGGGUGUAAAGGGAGCGUAGACGGCAGCGCAAGUCUGGAGUGAAAUCCCAUGGCUUAACCAUGGAACUGCUUUGGAAACUGUGCAGCUAGAGUGCAGGAGAGGUAAGCGGAAUUCCUAGUGUAGCGGUGAAAUGCGUAGAUAUUAGGAGGAACACCAGUGGCGAAGGCGGCUUACUGGACUGUAACUGACGUUGAGGCUCGAAAGCGUGGGGAGCAAACAGGAUUAGAUACCCCUGUAGUC